UAGCAAUGAUGACAAAAGGCCGGUCUUACAGCUGCUUUGGGUUCAUCCCAUGGUAGUAGGAUGAUGUUGAUAAUCGUAAGGUGUUUCUGAGCCAG
Molecule: small nucleolar RNA, 95 nt
Filed under: Thalictrum thalictroides
Lineage: Eukaryota; Viridiplantae; Streptophyta; Magnoliopsida; Ranunculales; Ranunculaceae
Description: Small nucleolar RNA snoR113
Rfam family: Small nucleolar RNA snoR113
Source: Rfam by way of RNAcentral